RNAcentral lists this unclassified non-coding RNA (181 nucleotides) under Borreliella bavariensis. Its description in RNAcentral is "5S-23S ribosomal RNA intergenic spacer". The record is from RNAcentral. Lineage: Bacteria; Pseudomonadati; Spirochaetota; Spirochaetia; Spirochaetales; Borreliaceae.
UUUUUAUUUUAUAUUUUAAACAUUGAUUUUAUUUUUUAUGUUUUUAGAUGUUCAUUUUUUUGAAUGUUUAAUUCAAAUAAUAUAAAAAAUAAAAUAUAUAUUGACAUGGAUUAAACAAACAUAUAUAUUAUUCUAUGUUGCAUAAACAAAUUGGCAAAAUAGAGAUGGAAGAUAAAAAUAU